This 251-nucleotide ribosomal RNA is filed under the name uncultured prokaryote. Its description in RNAcentral is "partial 16S rRNA". It matches the Rfam family "Bacterial small subunit ribosomal RNA", at positions 525 to 775 of the family's 1533-position model. The record is from RNAcentral.
ACGGAGGAUGCGAGCGUUAUCCGGAUUUAUUGGGUUUAAAGGGUGCGUAGGUGGACUGUUUAGUCAGUGGUGAAAUGCUGAUGCUCAACGUUAGCAUUGCCGUUGAAACUGACAGUCUUGAGAGUGAUUGAGGCAGGCGGAAUGUGUGGUGUAGGGGUAAAAUGAAUAGAUAUCCCGAAGAACUCCGUGGGCGAAGGCAUCUUACCAAGCCACAACUGACACUGAAGCACGAAAGCGUGGGGAUCAAACAG